Molecule: unclassified non-coding RNA, 349 nt
Filed under: Hevea brasiliensis (rubber tree)
Lineage: Eukaryota; Viridiplantae; Streptophyta; Magnoliopsida; Malpighiales; Euphorbiaceae
Source: RNAcentral
AAGGAUUUUGCUGCCAUGUAUAUCUUGUGUUGUACUUUCUUAUCUAAUUAGCUUACUCAAUUGAGAAUCUAAUUUGGUCUUUAUGAUGCUUAUAUUGUUUAUAAUCUACUUAUGUCUUGAGUUUUGUAGUUUCAUGAUUCUUAGGUUAUUCAAUUGUGCUCGCAGUUGUCUUUAUUAUUGAGCAAUUUUCAUGCAAACAUUUAUGAAGUGGGAGGGAUUGUAGGAAUUGUUCUUCUAUAUUUCAUUACCAGAGUUCACUCUUUUGAUGGAGCUUAUGACUCUAUUGGAUUGUUAUAUUAAAUUGUACUAGUUUAGUAUUGUCAUAUAAGAUGCCGCACAUGACAAAUGG